RNAcentral lists this ribosomal RNA (401 nucleotides) under Philonicus albiceps. Its description in RNAcentral is "partial large subunit ribosomal RNA". It matches the Rfam family "Archaeal large subunit ribosomal RNA", at positions 2006 to 2609 of the family's 2987-position model. Lineage: Eukaryota; Metazoa; Arthropoda; Insecta; Diptera; Asilidae. The record is from RNAcentral.
GGCCGCAGAAUUUUAACUGUGCAAAGGUAGCAUAAUCAUUAGUUUUUUAAUUGAAAGCUGGUAUGAAUGGUUGGACGAGGUACUAGCUGUUUCACAUUAAAUGUUAUAAUUUUAUUUUUUGGUUAAAAAGCCAAAAUAUUUUUAAAAGACGAGAAGACCCUAUAGAUCUUUAUAAUUCUUUUAUUACUGACUAUGAAGAAUAUUUUUGUUAGUAUUAAUUAGGUUAUUUUGUUGGGGUGACAGAGAAAUUUAUUUAACUUUCUUUAUUUUUUGUACAUUAAUUUUUGAUUUUUUUGAUCCUUUGUUAAGAUUGUAAGAUUAAGUUACCUUAGGGAUAACAGCGUAAUCUUUUUGGAGAGUUCCUAUCGAUGAGAAGGAUUGCGACCUCGAUGUUGGAUUAA